UUACAGCCAUAUCACAUUGAAACACCGGUACGAUCACCGAAGUUAAGCGACGUUGAGCCUGGUCAGUACCUAGAUCGGUGACCGACUGGGAAUACAAAGUUCUGUAA
Acanthosepion pharaonis is the source of this 107-nucleotide non-coding RNA. The record is from the annotation of a GenBank genome assembly. NCBI's taxonomy places the organism in Eukaryota, Metazoa, Mollusca, Cephalopoda, Sepiida, Sepiidae.